CCUCAUCUUCCGAGACAAUCACCAUGUUUGCUGUGAAAGUAGUUUGCCUCUUUGCCACCAUCGCUAUGCUUGCUGCAAUGGUGGCUGCGGACCCUCAGAAUGAAAAUUAUUGUGUGUUUGACUAUGAUGGCAAUCCCAGGUGUUAAAAAAGAUAAAGAGACGCCAGGAAUCCCCUCAAGACUUUAAUCAUUAAAAACACUAUGUAUUCAAAUUUUAAUAAAGUAGUCAUGCACACUUAUUCCUUGUGUCUUGAAUUGUCAAUCCAGAUUUAUAACAUAGAUUUGUCACUCCACCAUGAUGGCUCUUGUGGAUUCUUUUGAUUUCAGACAAUUUCCUCUGAAUAAUCAUAAUGGCUGUUAUAGAACUACUGGAAGCACCUUGCAUUAAAGUUCUAUAGUGAG
This is a long non-coding RNA of Erpetoichthys calabaricus (reedfish), 401 nucleotides long. RefSeq lists it as uncharacterized. The record is from RefSeq and is a predicted model, not a curated record. The transcript has 4 exons. Lineage: Eukaryota; Metazoa; Chordata; Cladistia; Polypteriformes; Polypteridae.